AAUGAACGUUGGCGGCGUGGAUCAGGCAUGCAAGUCGAACGAAUGCCGUGGGGGCAACUCUGCGGCGGAAGUGGCGAAAGGGGCAGUAAGGCGUGGAUAACCUACCCUGGACUUCAGGAUAGCCUCUCUAACGAGUGGGUAAUACUGGAUGCCGUAGCGAGGGAGCAUUCUCUUGCUACGAAAGUUCCGACGGUCCGGGAGGGGUUCACGUGGUAUUAGCUUGUUGGUGAGGUAACGGCUCACCAAGGCCAAGAUGCCUAGCAGGUGUGAGGGCACGACCUGCGCCACUGGCACUGGGACACUGGCCAGACUCCUACGGGAGGCUGCAGUCGAGGAUCUUCGGCAAUGGGCGAAAGCCUGACCGAGCGACGCCGCGUGUGCGAUGAAGGCCUUCGGGUUGUAAAGCACUGUCGUGGAGGAGAAAGGCCGCAAGGCUUGAUCGACUCCAGGAGGAAGCUCGGGCUAAGUUCGUGCCAGCAGCCGCAGUAAAAC
Molecule: ribosomal RNA, 492 nt
Filed under: uncultured bacterium
Lineage: Bacteria
Description: bacterial SSU rRNA
Rfam family: Bacterial small subunit ribosomal RNA
Source: RNAcentral